UAGAGCACCAAAAUUAGAGCUUUCUAGAGAAAACCCUAAUCAUCAGCCGUCAGCUGUGGUAAAACAAUCUAGUGGCUCCAGGAACUAAACCCAGAAAAGUCAUAAAAAAGAAAAAAAAACCAACAAAUCUAGGAUGUCUUAGACAUUAAAAAGUAAGAAUCUUUAACCAGGCGAGACGAGAAGAAACCAUUGUGUUGCGCGAGCUUCUGCAAUUGUAUGGAAGAGUAAACAAAACCCUAGAGAGAGAGAGGUACGGGAACUCCAAUGGAGAAAUUGGGAGGAUUAUAAGAUUGGAGCAAAGGAGAUCGAAGUGUAAGAUGUAGAGCAGAGAGUGGGAAAUAUUUUCCAAAUUCACACUUUUUCAAUUCUCUGAGCUGUUUUGUUUCAUUGGUAAAAGGGAAAGUUUUUCUUCCUUUCUCUUGUUUUUUCUCAUAUCCUUCUUUUUUGGUGAAGAUCUCCACACAAACAGUAACCAGCACUAUCGCUUCUCCGACCUCUCCAAAAGAUGGUGAAUUGAUUUUUUUUUUUUACAUUUAUUAAAGUUUUUUUGGUAAUUACUAAUUAAUUGCUUUUAUAAUUGUGAUUAUAUCAUUUUAUAUUUUAAUUCAACGAAUUGCAAUUAUAUCUAGGUUAAAUUUACAUCAUUUGUAUUUACUUUUUUUUUGUCAAAUCAUUUUUAUUUGCUUGUAAUGAUCUAAAUCUAUAAAUAAUAGUGAAAACAAUGGUAAAUAUAUUAGAUCGGAAAAAAAAAACUCAUUAUAAAAAUUUACAAGAUAUAAAUUUAUAUUAAUUAUAAUUGCUGUACAAGUUUAAAAUACUUACUGUACAAGUUUCAUAAUUUUAUUACAAAACAUAUCCAAACCUUUAACUAAAGAUACUUUUCUUUCGGACAUUAAAAAAAAACUAAGUACCUGUCUGCUGCGCACGGACAUAAUUACUAUACAAAUUUUGUUAUAAUUUAAUUAUAUCAAAUUCUUUACUUAACAUAUUUUGUAAUUUUUUUAUCAGAUUUAGAAAGUUUUUCUAAUAUAUACGUGACAUUCUCCAUUUUCAAUAUUUGAAACUAAAAUAUUAGAUAUCCAUAAAUUACAAAAAUUUAUUGAAUUAUUUAUUAUUCUAAAUUGAUUCAUAUAAUCCAUGUAUUAACAUUAUUUAACAAUCUUAUACACUUAUAAAUAGAUAUAUAUAUAUAUAACGUAAUAUAAGAAGUACUAUAUUAAAUGUCUAUACUGUAUAACUUUAGUGGAUAUAUAUAAUAUAAUAUAAGAAGUACUAUAUGAAACGAUAACCAAAUACAAAUUAUUUAUUAUUCUAAAUUGAUUCAUAUAGCCCAUGUAUUAACGUUAUUUAACAAUCAUCUAUAUUUAUAAAUAGAUAGUUUUAUAUAUAUAUAUAUAUAACAUAAUAUAAAAAGUACUAUAAUAAAUGUCUCUACUAUAUAACUUUAGUGGAUAUAUAUAACGUAAUAUAAGAAGUACUAUACUAAACUAUAACCAAAUGCAAAGGAAAAUAUAAUAAAAGAAAUAUCAAAUAAAAUAGAAAGAUUCAACAUAACAUAAGAUAGAAAGCCUUGUCAUGAGAAAAAAAGAAAUGUAGCUUAUACAAUGAUAUUCAGUCUUGUUGCAUGGAAUUUAAAGCGAUAAAAAUUAAAACUCCAUCAUAAUCAAACGAUUUUGUUCAGGGGUCUUUUUUUGUGCUUGUUCCAACUUGCGUCUCCGUCAUGUUAAACUUGUUUCGAAUCCUGAAAGCUUAAGAGACACAUAUGUAUUUAAAGGUUAUUGUAUAUAUAAAAUAUUCUCAAUAUCAUUGUCGGAUUACUUAUUUUCUAUUGAAAAUUAGGACAUCAUCCGUAGUAGGAGCAAAGAGAAGACGGGAAAAACCAAUUGCAUCAUGAGCAUGGAUAGUUAUUUUAUCUAUAUACAUAAAACGAUCAGUAAGAACUAUACAUGCAAAAUAAAACAUUUAUGAAAUUAAUGAAGAUAAUAAUGACAUAUGCUUCAUGACCCAUACCUUCUUUUUUCUUUACGCUCUAAUUGUUUAAAACACAAACUGCAAGAGGACCAAUGAAUCAUUUACUUCUUUCUUUGAUGUUAGCAGCAAAUUCCACGUGUAAGAUACAUUUCAAUUUCAAAUCCCUUCGAUUUAACAAUAAAAGUUAUAAACUUUAUUACCAAGUCAUAGUGAUCAUGAAAGAAAAUAUUGCUUACUCGAGAUCUGUAAUGAUGAAAGUUAUUUUCCUAACAGUAUCUCCAUCAGGAUUGUUUGCGGCACGCGGUCAUAAUACUCUAGAAUUACAUAAAAUAUUAAAUUUAAUUAUUCAUUUUUUAAUUUCAUUACUAUUAGAUUUGUAAUUGAUUCUUUUGAAAUUAAAAGUUUUUAAAAGUCUCUACAAACAUUUGCUAUAAAUUGCUGAUGUUAAUUUUAAUUGACAUAACUUUAUUAUAUAUAACAUUAAACGUAAAGUAAAAAAUUAAAAAAAUAAACGGUAUUAGAUCCUUAAUGAAAACACAUUAAUAAGUUUUUUUUUUAAAAUACAUGUAGUGAAAUCUCUUUAGAUUCUUUUAAAUAUAAAAUUGCUAUUUAUACAAAAAAUAUAUAAUUAUAAUUACAUAUUAAAUUUAUAGAUAAUUAAUUUGUACAAUUAUUCAUGUUAAAAUUUCAUUAUUCUGUAGACUUUUCAAUGAUGAUUUUAAAAUUAAAAUCUCCAAAAGAGUAUAUUCUCUAAAACCAUUCGCUACAAAUCGUUGAUAUAUUAUAAUAGGAGUGAUUUUUCAAAUACAUAUAUUACAUAUAUUACAUGUUCGUAACCUAUAAGAAUGUUAAACCUAUAUUAUUUAUUGAGUUUGUAAAUGAUUUAUUUGAAGAUACGAUUAGAGAAUACGUCUUCAAUCGUUAGAAUCUUCUUUGGCAACAUUUCCACACGCUUUGGAUUUAAAAUAUUUAUAAAUAUCUUGAAGCGCACAUGAUUUUUUAGUCUUUUUAUAGAGGGGGAAUUGCUAAAAAUAGGCCACAAUUUGAUUCCAAAUGCAAAAGUAUACCCCAAAUUCAACCUAUUGCAAAAAUAGGUCAGAUGGGUAGAGAAAUUACCAUUAUCUCCUACAUGAGUAAACAAUAAAACGGAUGUCUCAAUUACGAUUAUAACCCUUCGAAGUCUGCAAAUACUAAUGAAGUCUGCUCAGCAGACUGAUAAAGAAGUCUACUAUAAUAUUAAAAUUAUUUUUAAAUUUAAAAAUUAUAUAAAAAUAAUGUAAACUGAAGUUUGUUUCCAUAAAUCAAAUGUCAACAAGUAUGAUCUAUAAAAAUUAUAAUUUAAUAAAUAUGAAUCAUUUUUAACCAUCUAAGAUAAACAUAAAAAGUGAAAAGUUUUAAACUAAGGCUGCAGACUUCUUUAUCAGUCUGCAAAGCAAACUUAUAAGAAGUCUGCUAUAUUAUUAAAUUUUAUAUUUAAAAUUUAAAAUUAUAUAAAAAUAAUUUAAAUUAAAAUUUGUUUCUAUAAAUCAAAUGUCAACAAGUAUGAUCUAUAUAAAUUAUAAUUUAAUAAAAUAAAUCAUUUUAAACCAUCUAAGAUAAAUAUCAAAAAUGAAUAAUUUUAAACUAGGGUUGUAGACUUCUUUAUAAGUCUGCUCAAACCGUAAACGAAAUUAAAAUAAAAUAUUGAUUUAAAUCGGAAAUAAUUAACCUAACCAGAUAUAACCGGAUAUUUUUGCCCUAUUAUAUAAAUGAGAUUUUACCCUAAUUCAGAAACUCUCCACUCUGAUCCCUCUCUCCAAAAACGGCGCUGCAUUUUCUCUGUUGCUGUAACCUCUUUCUUUCUGUUCUCCAUUUUUGCUAUGUUCUUCGUUCACUUGAGUUCGGAUCUGCAAUCAUCUACAACAAGGACCCAGCUUCGGACGACCUCGUAAGAAUCUGUCCCAUUUAAUUAUUUUACAAAUUUUUGUUGAUUUCAUCUUCUUCUAAUGCUAUUUUGGUCGUUUUCUUUGUUAUUUCAUCUUAUUGUUAGUACCGAUCAACCAGAACAACACACCUCCUUCUCCUCCGCCGUAAUCGUAACCGCCUCCGAUGAGAAGGAUGAUUCGAACAAGCAGAUCGUUCCGGCGUUUAUCACGAAAUCGGAGACGAAGAAGGAAAAUAUUCGGCCGGUGACGGAAUUUCGGAGGACGGAAUCGGCGAUAGAGAGACUGAGCAGUGAGGAGUUUCGUUUGAAGGUAGAGAAAUUCAUAAUGGAGAAGAAGAGGAGUCUCGUUCUGGAAAACGACGCCGUCCAAUGGCAAGGGCUUGUUUGUGCUGUCUCAGGCUAUGGCUCGUGCUAAAAACACAUAUAACUUGGAAGAUAAUUUUAGGAGCCGGUGACUUUUUAGAUUCGCUGGUCUUUAUGCUCUCAUCAUCAGAGAUGCUUAUGUUUUACGACGUUUAUCUUUAUUACUAAUAAUAAUAUAAACCAGUGUUCUAAAAAUCGGUUUCUUCGGCCGCCUAGGCACCGAGUAGGCGCUAAUAGAUGGUGGACCGCCCCGAUUUGGCUAUAAUCGGUUAAAAAAUCGGGUAAAAUGAAAAAAUUAUCUAAAACUUAAUUUUUUGGUUAUAAAUCGGUAAACUAAUGAAAGAUUUAAGCUAUUUUGAUCAAGAUAUGUGUGUAACUGAUGAAAAAAAGGUAGAUAUAUGAAAAUGUCAGAAGAAAAAAAACAGGGACAAUGGUGGCCACUAGGGUUUUUAGGGGAAGAAGAUGACUCAUGGAAAAAUGACGAUUUUAUCCUUCUCAUUUAAGUAAAAAACAAGACAAAUGCUCUUUAAAAGUCUCGAACCUCGGGUUGGAAGCAAUAAAUAUGACUCCCUAACCACUACACACAUAUAGGUCAUAUAUUCAACUUUACUAAUAUAUAACCUUUAUAUAUAUAAAAUCAUAAAAAAAUAACCAAAAUUGGAAGCAUAAUGGUUCGAACCCACGUACUUUGGGCAACAAGAGGAUAUGUUUCCACCAGACCACAAGAGUUUGUUAACGUUGUAUGCGUUAAUAAAGUAAUUUAUAUACUAUCAAGACCGUUAACAAAAGUGGCCAAUAGUUAAAGUUGAAUACAAACCAUGACAGGUAAAUGCAAGAAUAACUGAUUUUUCAAUCUUAUACAAAUGCAAGAACAAUAACAACUAAAAAUAAUUGAAAGGAAGUAGACUUCUAAACUUCUUUAGAAGUCUGCUAAAUCAAACAAGAAAAUUCAUUACUUUGUAAUUAUAACACAUAAUAACGUCAAAUUCAUAUAGAUGCAACAUAAAAAACAAAUAAACAUGUCAAGACAAGAAAAUUAUUUUUACAAGUAACAAAUAUUUCAAAAAUGAAUUUAAAAAAAAAAUAAUUAGGCAGACUUCUUAUGAGUCUGCUAUGAUAUGCUAAUACGUAACAGCAGACUUCAUCUACAGACUUUUUUUAGAAGUCUGCUUAGAUGUGCUAAUUACCUUUUAAAUCAAGAAAAUUCAUAACUUUAUAAUUAUAACACAUAAACACACCAAACUCAUACAAGUGAAAGAAUCAUACCUAAAAUGCAUUUACAAAUUUAAAAAAUUAAAAAAACAUUACAAAUAUUUUAUAAAAUUGCAAUUUAUUUUUUUUUUUAAAUGCAGACAUCCGUUCAAAGUCCGCUGGGAAAAUUUCACGUUGAAAUCUUCUAGAAAAAAGGUUAUUUUUGCAUUUGACCAAAUAUUUGACUUUUCGUAGCAGACUUCUUUUUGCAGGCUGCAAGAAAAAAAUGUUAUUUUUCCAAUUGACCAAAAGUUUGACUUUUAGAGCAGACUUCUUUAGAAAAGUCUGCUUAUGAAGUCUACUCUACAAAAAAAGUCUACUCGAGGUUAUUUUUGUAAUUGACCAAAAUUAGAAGUCUGCUAUAAAAGUCAAAGAUCGACAAUUUUUUUGGUCAAAUGCAAAACUAAUCUUUUCUUCUCGCCGAUUGCAAAAGAAGUCUACAUGAUUUUUUUGUUUACAAAGGACAAUUCGCAGCUUACAAAAAUAUGAAAAAAGUCAAUUGCAAAUCUAACAUUUGCGUUGACUAGCAGACUGAAAAAGAAGUCUGCUUUCGCGAAACAGAGUUAAAUGUUAAAGAAAAUGAAGUAGAUGUUUACCUACUUCCAAUUUAAACUCGAUUAACUUUGACAUACACCCAUAAUUUUGUAUAGCACCGAUAGCAAACUAGCUAAGUCGUUGUUAUGCAAGAAUCUCCAAAAAUAGAUGAUUUAUGAAAUUGAAAAUUAUGAAAAAGAGCAUGGAAGAGUUUUUUAGAUGAAAUUGGAGAGAAAUUUGUAGGUAAAAUGAAGUUAUAAGCGACACAAUAAGCAUUUAGAGCUUCAAAAUUGGUUGGGCAAACAUUUAGAGCUUCAAAAUUGGUUGGUAAUGGUGGUUGGCAAAAUUGAAGAAGAUGGCAUUUUCGUAAAUAAGUGAUAUAUUUUAGGAUGGUUGUGUAUUUUUGCUAUUUUUCAGAAAAAAUAAAAAUUGAAAACAUAAUGGCAUUUUCGUGAAUAUAUGUGGUUGUGAGGAGAUAGUAGGAAGAAAAUGACAUUUGUUGAAGAAGGAGAAAAAAGGGGUUAUUUUUGCAUUUGACUUCAAAUUAUGGGUCAUAUGUGCAAGUAUCCCUUUUAUAGAAAAACGUUAUUAGUUUAUUAUUCAAAACUACAUUAUAACCAAUUGUCAAAUUAUUUCAUGAUCUCAAAAUGUUUAAUUCUCUAAUUGUUAUAGUUGAAUAUGGAACUACAAAAACGAUGAAACCAAAUUAUUAUGUAUUUAGUUUUGAUUAUGUAUACACAUUAUACUAUUCUCUUUAAUUAUUUGUAGUUUUAAAUUAUAGUAACCAAAAAAAUUAUGUCAAGAUAUAAAAGUUUUACUUUCUGAGUUCUACUUCAUAAACUUUUAGUUUUCUUCCUCAUCUUCUUUAUUUUUUAUUUUUUUUCAUCUUCUACUUCAUCAUUUUCGAGUUCUACUUCUUCUUCUUCUUCCUUAUCAUCUUGGUCUUCUUUGAAUUCUCCUUCUUUUGUUUUUUGAUUUUUGUCAUCUUAGGUUUUUUUCUUUUGUCUUUUUCUUACUUAUCUAAUCUAUGUUUUCUUCCUCUUAUACUUUGUCUUCAUCUAAUUAUUCUUCUUAAUUUUUCAUUUUUUCUUCUUUCUCAUAUUUUCUUUCUUCUUUUUCCUCUUCUUUGACUUCCUUUUCACAAUCUUCUUAUUCUCCAACUCAUUAUUCUUUUUUUUUUCCCACAUUAACACCUCGUCUUUUUCUUCAUUUUUUUAUCUUUUUAAAAAUUUUAUACAUCAUCUAGACCUUAUUAUACUUUGUCUACAUCAUUUUCUGAGUUUAUUCUUCUUCCACUUAUGUUUCUUAAUCUUUUAGUUUUCUUAUUUUGCUUUAACUUUCUCUCUUUUUAUCAUUACCCUUUUUUGUUAUUUUGCACUAUCCAUCUUUUUCAUAAUCUAUCGUGUUUGUCUUCUUUGUCUUCUUAUUCUUUAAGUUUUCUUAAUCUCUUUUGUCAUCUUUACAUUUUCAUACUUACCCUUUUAAGGAAAUUAAGAGAAUAAAUCAGUGUAGAGCACCAAAAUUAGAGCUUUCUAGAGAAAACCCUAAUCAUUAGCCGUCAGCUGUGGUAAAACAAUCUAGUGGUUCCAGGAACUAAACCCAGAAAAGUCAUAAAAAAGAAAAAACCAAACAAAUCUAGGAUGUCUUGUACAUUAAAAAGUAAGAAUCUUUAACCAGCGAGACGAGAAGAAACCAUUGUGUUUCGCGUGCUUCUGCAAUUUCGUAUGGGAGAGAAAACAAACCCUAGACAGAGAGAGAGAGAGGUACGGGAACUCCAAUGGAGAAAUUGGGAGGAUUAU
This 7842-nucleotide long non-coding RNA is filed under the name Eutrema salsugineum. RNAcentral's name for it is "long non-coding RNA (ESAL_LNC000813)". The record is from RNAcentral. Lineage: Eukaryota; Viridiplantae; Streptophyta; Magnoliopsida; Brassicales; Brassicaceae.